RNAcentral lists this non-coding RNA (117 nucleotides) under Nomascus leucogenys (northern white-cheeked gibbon). Lineage: Eukaryota; Metazoa; Chordata; Mammalia; Primates; Hylobatidae. The record is from Rfam by way of RNAcentral.
GCCGGGCAUGGUGGCUCAUGCCUGUAAUCCCAGUACUUUGGGAGGCUGAGGCAGGCGGAUCACCUGAGGUCGGGAGUUCGAGACCAGCCUGACCAACAUGGAGAAACCCCGUCUCUA